Molecule: long non-coding RNA, 1047 nt
Organism: Paramacrobiotus metropolitanus
Lineage: Eukaryota; Metazoa; Tardigrada; Eutardigrada; Parachela; Macrobiotidae
Exons: 6
Source: RefSeq, a predicted model, not a curated record
ACAAACGGUUUUCUGCGUUCUUAUGCCUUGUAGAAUACGUCAAAUAUUGUUGGAUUUCCCAGUUUUUGUAAUAGAAAAUUGUUUCAGGGUUAUAUCUAAAACAUUUCUAACAGACCAUUAUCGAGAAUUAUGAAUAAAAUAGCCUAUUUUGGAAUCAGCGCAACGAGCAGCGCGCUGGCAAUCGUAGUUGCCAAAGCAUACAGAUACACUCGUACACGCGAAUUCAUGUUCCCGCGCGCACACCAUAUUCCUAGUGCCAUCGUUCUUCCUUUUGUUCUUCCAAUCACUUGGAUUUCAUGAUGGUGCUCUUGCCAUACAACUCCUGACAGUAAUAAGUCGAGGAAACAAACUUGGAUUUCCUGGAGCUAUGACGAAUUACUGACUUAAUUUGAUUUAAUCUGCACGCAGUGCCAUAAGUUGCAGAUACUUUCGAAAACCUGGAUAUCCAUGCCUUUCAGCAUACACACAGUGUGAACUGAGAAGAAAACGUCCAAUUCUGUUUCUGCGCAUUGCUGAUGUUUCCUGUGGCCGAAAUAGCAUACUGGCUUUCAGACGGGAAUGUCUCUGCAUUAAAUUAUUCAGGGAAUAUCAGCUGCAUGACUCUUGGAUUUCCGUAGCUUGUGAAGAUGGUUAAAAGCGGUAUAACUUCAGCAGAUUCUAAGCGUGAGCGCGCAACCAAAACAGGAACGGCAUCUUCGUUACGACUUUUUCAAAGAUUUGGAGGAGAAUUUACUGAUAGACGACGCGUUGGUUCGACCGGGUUUGGGGAGACCAGUUCCUUUUUCAAAUAUAGUAGCAACUGCAAGAUACGAUACACCAAAGAAAACUCUUAAGUACCUUGGAUGGCUUCACUUGGAUAUCCGUGUCAGUUUUAUAAACAAGUGAUAAUUUUCAUUAUUGUUUUAGCGUUUGAUUUGUGACGGCAAAGAAUCUGAAUUUUGGAAAUCCAAAACGUUGAUUUUGAUGUUAAAGUUUUUCACAAAUUAAUAAUAUUUUCCGGUGAAUGAGUGUCAUUUCUUUAAGGAGAAUAAAACCGUAAACUGCAAA